This 72-nucleotide transfer RNA is filed under the name Podarcis lilfordi (Lilford's wall lizard). RNAcentral describes it as "tRNA.Ser". Lineage: Eukaryota; Metazoa; Chordata; Lepidosauria; Squamata; Lacertidae. The record is from RNAcentral.
UGGAUAGCUCAGUUGGUUAGAGUAUGGCACUGCUAACACCAAGGUUGCAGGUUCGAUCCCCUUAUGGGACAG